GAUCAUGGCUCAGGAUGAACGCUGGCGGCGUGCCUAAUACAUGCAAGUCGAACGCUUCACUUCGGUGAAGAGUGGCGAACGGGUGAGUAAUACAUAAGUAACCUGGCAUCUACAGGGGGAUAACUGGUGGAAACGUCAGCUAAGACCGCGUAGGUGUAGAGAUCGCAUGAACUCUACAUGAAAAGUGCUACGGGACUGGUAGAUGAUGGACUUAUGGCGCAUUAGCUUAG
RNAcentral lists this ribosomal RNA (230 nucleotides) under uncultured bacterium. RNAcentral's name for it is "partial 16S ribosomal RNA". It matches the Rfam family "Bacterial small subunit ribosomal RNA", at positions 15 to 249 of the family's 1533-position model. The record is from RNAcentral.